GAUGAACGCUGGCGGCGUGCCUAAUACAUGCAAGUCGAGCGAACAGACGAGGAGCUUGCUCCUCUGACGUUAGCGGCGGACGGGUGAGUAACACGUGGAUAACCUACCUAUAAGACUGGGAUAACUUCGGGAAACCGGAGCUAAUACCGGAUAAUAUAUUGAACCGCAUGGUUCAAUAGUGAAAUACGGUUUUGCUGUCUCUUAUAGAUGGAUCCGCGCCGCAUUAGCUAGUUGGUAAGGUAACGGCUUACCAAGGCAACGAUGCGUAGCCGACCUGAGAGGGUGAUCGGCCACACUGGAACUGAGACACGGUCCAGACUCCUACGGGAGGCAGCAGUAGGGAAUCUUCCGCAAUGGGCGAAAGCCUGACGGAGCAACGCCGCGUGAGUGAAGAAGGUCUUCGGAUCGUAAAACUCUGUUAUUAGGGAAGAACAAAUGUGUAAGUAACUAUGCACGUCUUGACGGUACCUAAUCAGAAAGCAACGGCUAACUACGUG
This 497-nucleotide ribosomal RNA is filed under the name uncultured bacterium. Its description in RNAcentral is "partial 16S ribosomal RNA". It matches the Rfam family "Bacterial small subunit ribosomal RNA", at positions 28 to 507 of the family's 1533-position model. The record is from RNAcentral.